AUAUAGGAACGACAGCGAAGAUAUGCUUUAUUCUAACAGAAUAUGCUUAAUUUUGAAUGAAAGGGGCUCAAAAAUGAUUCCUUUUUCUCGGCAUUAAAUUCGGUGCAACACUAUACCAACCAAACCCAAAACAUAUCCACAAAGAGAUUCUUUACUUUUGUAUCGAACUGCAAGAAGAUUUGAGCUGUUUUUAUUUGUAGCCUUGAGUAUGCAGAGAUUCGUGAAUUUUCGUUAAAAAGUCUAGGUAUCCAAAUCCUUCGCGAGUGUUAUCCUCUACUAAUGUUGAGAAUAUUUCACCUUCACUACCAUCUAAACCCUGGCGUACGAUUUGUGGGUGAAGAGCCAUGCUGGGAAAUUGCAUUCUAAGAGAAGAAAGGAGAUUGCGAACUUGUACAGAAAGAACUGUGUCCAAUGUCGGAAGCUCAAGCGCUUUCAGAGAAUCAAUAUCCUCAAGACUCUCAACACCUAAUAGAUCUUGAAGUAAAAGAGGAGAGGUUCUUUGAUGAAACCAUAAGUAAGACUUUUGGCCAGUGACGAUUAAAAAAGCACCACCAUCCUCAAUGAAUUUUCGAGAUGCUCGAACGCAAAGUGGCAUAUUGAUAGGUAGACAACCCGUAUUUUCAGGGUCAGGAAGACAAUCAGUGGGCUGUAAUUGAUGUAGUGCAUAAAUGUUUGGAUAAAGAUUUAGCAUCAACUCUUGAAUAGGAGCUGCUCUCACCUCUCUGAGCUGUGAAACACGAAUAUCACUAUGAAUGCUUCCACUUCGGAUAGCAGAUGAUUUCAAAACUGCAAGAAUCAAAAUAGGUAAUAACACCAAGUUCUUUGGAAGAACCAGUUGGCCUGGAGUCAAACGAUUAGCAGCAACCUUCCGAUAACUAGAUAAGAUUUUCACGACACCCUCCACUAACCUAACCGAUGUAUCUUUUAAAGAACCCGCUGCAAUAUUUGUCGAUGCAAUUUUAGCUAAAACUGCAACGAUAGGUUCAACAAUGGCAAGAGAAAUCGUAUCGUAGCUUUUAGAAGUGACAGCACAGCAAUAGUUAACAACCCUUACUCUUCUCUCACCAGAAGGAGUGGUAUAUAAAACCGCAGUUUGAAAGUGAGCGUCCAAAGCUCCAUUUAAUUUUCCAUCAUAGGAAAACAGAACUGUUACACUUUUAUCAGCAUCAAGACUGCCAAAUUCGAUAUCUUGUGGAGUUCGUUGCAAGAAGUUGCCUAAAUAUUUGGAGACACGCAG
Schizosaccharomyces pombe (fission yeast) is the source of this 1237-nucleotide non-coding RNA. NCBI's taxonomy places the organism in Eukaryota, Fungi, Ascomycota, Schizosaccharomycetes, Schizosaccharomycetales, Schizosaccharomycetaceae. The record is from the annotation of a GenBank genome assembly.